CUAAUGUGAAAAGAUGUUUAAUGAAGUAUAAACGUUCUUUUAGCAUACAAUAUAUUCCCUUCGUUUCAUAAAACUUGUAAAAAUCAUAGAACUCUUUUAAAGUACCUCAGGUCCUAAUGGAAGGCAAAACUGUGUGCAAAGAAAGUUCUUCCUAAAUCCUUAACUACUUGAGCAUACUGCAUUUUCUCUGUCAACAUCAAGUAAGCAUUUAUUAGGUUCCUGACCUCAUACUAUAUACUGCAGUUAAAACGCAGUAUCUAGGCAGUUAUACAGUUAAAAGGUAUGCAAUGUUUUUUUUUUCUUUUUAAAUAUAAAGAUUAAUUAGAAAGCAUGAAGAGAAAUAAUCUUUAAAAAAGUCCUAACAUCUAGUGGGUUGAGUAAGGCACUGAGGUCUUGCAAAUAUCUCAUUUCAGAAAACUCACUAGGUUAACCCUAAAUAUAUUAAUUCAAAUCUAAACAUACGAAAAUAGCAUUGAAAGUAUUUGCUGCAGCUGGAUUUGAGCGUUACGUGACUCAAUACCAUGUGACAUGUCUAUAAGGUUCCCUGAAGUAUCCUACUGACUGUUUCCUCUGGCCCCCUUUCUAUGAUAAUUUUUAUUCAUCUAAAUAUUAUUUCCAAUUUGGACUAUUUCUUUAAUGAACUAGAACAUUUAGCAAACAAGUGAUUUGGAUCAGUUCUAAGGAGCCAUAUGUACAAUUUCCAAGGGAAGUGUUCUAACUCUGGAUUAAGAAGGGGAAGAAAUGAGAAAUCUCAGAAUUAUUAUAAAAACAAAAUGAAAGACCAAGAGUUGAGGUAAAUUAAAAAGUAUUGGGAAAAAGCUAUCUUUAGAAAGGCUGAUUUGCCUUUUGAGAGCAAGAAUAUUGGCUUGAAAUGGUUAUAUACAUCAAUACCUUGACUUCCAUUCAAACUGAACUAUCUUUCACAUUGAACUUUUAGUAAUAGGCUUGGGUUAUACAUAUUUUACCACCUUCUUACCUCCUAUGGAAACGGGAAGAUUGUAUACAGUUUGUUUCUUUUACUGGAUGUUGCAGAACGCUAAAUCUGCAGGACUAGAUGGAAAAACAAAGUUGGGCAGAGCUUCUCCAUCUAGUCUGAUAAAACUUCCUAUUCAAGAGAAAGUGACUAAGGGUCAACAGCAAUUACUUCAAAACUUAUUUUACUAUGUCAAUACCUGAAAACAUAUAUUUUAAAAGAUGAACAUACAAAGUCCAAAUAAAGUCAUUUUUUAAAACUUUAUUAUUGUUUACCAAUGGGGAGAUGCAGUUUAUUUACACCAGCAGCCAUAGGGGCAAGGGGAAUACACAGUUAAGUCAGCAAUCUGUAUAGGAUGGACUACUUAUGCAAAAAUAAGAAUCUCCAAAACAAAGGACAGUGGUGGGCUUCACUACACUUCCCCAAUGAUCCCAGCAUGCGACAAUGCCAGGCAAUGGCCCCAGGCAUGCGGUGGUGGAAAGUAACGUAUGGAAGAAAAAGCCACAAACCACAGAAAUUUGUAAAGAACCCCUUUCCCCCCAUACACACACACACUCAGAUACAUAAUAGAAUUACACGGUGAUCAAUACACUAAUUGAACAGGGAGGGAGAGAAAUUCUGCUGUUAGAGGGAAGAUAGGUAGGCAAAGGGAGAGUUCCUAACCACUGUCAACUACAUGGUAGGGAGUAUUCUCUCCCCAAAAAGACUUUGUCCCCUCAGGGCACCUGUUGGACCUAGCACACCUUACACCCAUCCAGGGCAGGAGGCUACUGCCCUAAUAGUGGGGGGCAAAAAAAUAAAAACUAAAACCAAGAGGGAGGUAACGUGAACCAACCAUUACUCAAAACUACUCCCCACUUCUUCCUCCUCUAACAGGAGAAAAGGCCAGAAAGGAAACAGUAAUGUCACAGUCUGCACUCCCUCUCUGAAGGAAGAGUGGACCAUGGUCCUAUCUUCAGCCUGUUUCUCAGACAUUAUUUAAAAUUAGGCCAGUCUCACUUAAAACCUCCUUACUCUCUGUAUCCCCUUAGAAUGAGAUGUUUACAAAAAGGGCAGAUAACCCCAAAAAAGCAAGAUAUUUUAGCUCUUGCUUUUUUUUUAAAGUUAUCACAAUUCUUGGAUUGAAGACCAAUCUGUAACUAGGUCCUGACCCUAAGCACGACAACUCUGGGGGAGAAUGCAGUAACAGAUAGUCUUGAGGCCUUAUUACUAUGGUUCCCUUAAUCCUCUAAAGUAUGUAACCCAAAUCAGUCCACAUGGUCCAAACGGUUCCUUCUGGGAUAAGGAAGGAUACAUGCACAGCAAGGGUUAAAGAAAACGCAUCAGGACCAACUCCAUCCCUGUGUGUGUCAGCCAGCCUUGACUGCUCUUCUGCCUAAGUCCUAAGAGGCGGUAUCCAAGUGGAGGCGGGGAGAUAUGACUCCUCAGGAAGUAAGACAGAGCAGGAAGGCAUACUAGCAAGGCAGUCCUAUAGGAGAAAUGCUUAGGUGUGACACUGCCUUUCAUAUACAAAAACUUAGGUUCCUUUCUCAUCCUAAGCCUAACACAGAAAGCCAUAAGAAAGAUUCUUCUGAGUCUCCCACACAAACAAGAAGAAAAAAACAUAAGAAACUUAAAAGAAGCCAAGGAAAGGGAAACUGGGCAGGCUUCAGAAGCAGGAGCAUCAAGAGAUGAAAUGAAACUGGUCAAUGUGAAAGCAGGGUGGCAGGCAGCACCUGGGGUCAUGAGCUGCACCAAAUAGGCAGUGGAGCAGGGACGUGUGGCCAAGCCAGAGAGAUGAGGCUGGGUCCCUUACUAGGGCACAGAAUGAGGUAAGAAAACAUUUCAAAUAGAGCAGCACCGUUCCCGCUCACCUUGGGGCUCCCAUCCCUCUACACUUCAUAAACCCUCCAUCAGGGAGUAAAGUGGAGGGUAAUUCUGAUAUGCGGCUCACACUUCCCAUCCUCCCCAUCCCAUUCCCUGAAACCAGGGCAUUUCUGGAGGCCCUUUCCUGACUUCCAACAACAAAAGGACAGCUCUUGUAAAGAAGGUCCAAAGGGGACCCAGUGGAGAGGGCUGCCCCUUGUGAGAGGCAGAGAGUGACGUGUCUAGAUGUUCACCACAGCAGAGCUUUGUGACUGCCCAACCCAAGGAACAGGGGCAUUCAACAGGAUACUGCACAGUCAGAUGAGAUGACCCAGUCCUGCUCCUUGGCUCCUAGCACUAACCCAUUCACAUUACUGAGGGCAGCUGGAAGAGGUCCUCUCCGGGCUUAGCUUUCAAACCACAACCUCCUGCACAGCCAUGAUGCUCUUCUACAGUUCAGUCUUGCCCCUGGGGUGGAAGGCAGUUAGUGACCUGGCAUAAGGACCAAGUCAGGCUCACAAACUGGCUAGAUAACUAGUAACAGAGUAGGAAAAUGACUGCCCCACCAAACGCUUGUCCACAGCAUAAUGGAUCCAGAUAUGAAUCUUGCAGUUUGAGAGAUCGUGCAUAGUUGCAGAGGCCCCCACUACUUCCCCAAGAGAUCAUAACUAAAUUCUCAGCCUGCCUGGAUAACCAAGGGGUCCAUUUGCCAAGCCUAUGCCACAAGGUGGGGUGCCAGAAAGAGGGAUCUGUUCAGCAGAAGGCUAGACUUUGUCCCCAAGACCGCUGUAGUCACUGUAAAUGCUGGACCUCUGGGAAACUGGUGGCUUUGACCUUUUCUCUCGUUGGAGCCAAGACCACAGAGCUUCGCCUACCAGAUUCAGCCGGGAAUUCUCUCUCUUGGUUUUCCCAAAUUGUAAUUGUUAACAUCCAGACCUCAUACCUGACCUUCAUUUGUCUCGGCGAAGGCCAAAUCAGAGGCUCAGAACUCAGAGGAGCAGUGCCACUGAGGCCCAACCAUCGAGGCCUGACCAUCAGUUCUGUCCACACUGUCAGUUAUCCAGGAAGCCCUUGACAUCGGGCAGACAAAGGCUGAGGAACCAAAGGAUUUUAUAUGCUGGGCACACAGCCACACACCUGUGCACUGGGGACAGUACUGGGAUCUUGCGCACUUCCUGGUGUGUUUACAGAUCAACCUGUAUUGCAUGGCGCGCGGGACGCACAGCUCCUCCUGCCCGGGAUUUCAAAGCCGACCCCAAGUAACAGACUUAUAAAAGGAUCCUAAUUCCUAAAUUCUCCACUUUGGGUUUAUAAAGGCUAGGAUCUUCAAUGGGAAUUGGGACUGUUGUCUGAGUUUUUUUUCCUACUCAGCUACCUAAAUUCUCCAAUCCACAAGACCAGUCUGCGUCCCUGUCCUGGUCACCCCCAGACUCGCUCAUGCUGCAGCUACUGGAAUUCUGGGGGUGAGCGCUGCAGCUGCUGAUCCGGCCCGCUCCCGGCCUCCGCGGGGAGGGAGCACAGCGGGAGGCGGCACGCUCCCUUCUCCUCCACGGGCUGGAUGCCAAAAUCCUUCACGUUCCCGGUCUCCGCGAACUCCAGGUAGAAGUAGCCACACUUGACGGCCCGGUGCACCUCAAAGCAGAAGCCCAAGCAGGAAUCCUCUAUCAGGUCUACGUAUAUCUCCUGCGCGAUGGCCUCCAGCUUGUUGGUGUCCAGGUUGGCCAGGGAGAUCUCCUCCAUCUUAACCCGGGGGCGGCGGCGGGUCCCGGCGGGAGGGUCUGGGACGCGGAGGCCCGGCUGGGGGGCUCGGCCGCGGGGCCCGGCCGGGGGGUGCGGCUCGGCCGCGGGCGCUCUCAGUACUCACGGCGGGCUCCGCGGGCCGCGCUAGGCCUCAGGCCUCCGGGCCGCACCUCGGGCAGGCGGGCGGGGGCGUCCGCGGCGGCGGCGGGGCAGCAACAGCCAGCGGCGCCGGCUCCGGACCCCCGAGUCCUUCCGUGACUUUCUGCGUCUCCGGGACCUGUGCUCUGCGCUCGGGCCGGCCCGGACUCACCGCCGACGGCCGCGCCUCACCCAGCACCCGGUCGCUUCCGCUCCUGUCUGGUUUAGCCCCGCCUCCCUGCUUCCGCUCCCAGCCCGCAUGCGCACUGGCCUCCGCAGACUCCAGGGCAGUUCCUGGCGCGCAGCUGCCGGGAAAGCCUCGGAGUGUGUGAAACUGGGAAGAGCUACAGUAGCAAGGAAUUCUGAAAUGUGUUAACUAUACUGGAAGAAAAAGGAAGCUUUUCCUACAAUUGUGCAGCAUGAAUUGAGAGAGCGAAAGCCAGUCUACCUGGGUUUAAAUCCUAGAUCCAACAUUUAGUAGUUCUGUGGUUCCUCAUCUGCAUAAAGCUAGUCCGUGUUUCACAGUUCAGAUUAAAUGUUUCAAAAAAGUUCUCUUGUGACAGGGCCUUACAUUAAACAGCCACGUGUCCUCCCGGGCUUGGCCAGCUUGAAGUUUCAAAUUCAUCCUCUGCUGAAAUCCAUUUUUAAGAUUUGCAUUUAAAAACUGAUUGUCAUGCCUUGCUUGAGACUCUGAGAUGGCACAAUUUGAUAUUAAAUAGGGAUGUCAUGCUAAAAUUACAAUGCCUAAAAUAAAUUUACGAUUUUAAUCUGCC
Molecule: long non-coding RNA, 5469 nt
Organism: Equus caballus (horse)
Lineage: Eukaryota; Metazoa; Chordata; Mammalia; Perissodactyla; Equidae
Source: Ensembl